AUACGGAGGAUGCGAGCGUUAUCCGGAUUUAUUGGGUUUAAAGGGAGCGUAGGUGGGAUAUUAAGUCCGCUGUGAAAGUUUGGGGCUCAACCUUAAAAUUGCAGUUGAUACUGGUUUCCUUGAGUACGGUAUAGGUGGGCGGAAUUCGUGGUGUAGCGGUGAAAUGCUUAGAUAUCACGAAGAACUCCGAUCGCGAAGGCAGCUCACCGGGCCGGAACUGACACUGAUGCUCGAAAGUGCGGGUAUCAAACAGGAUUAGAUACCCUGGUAGUCCGCACAGUAAACGAUGAAUACUCGCUGUUUGCGAUACACUGUAAGCGGCCAAGCGAAAGCGUUAAGUAUUCCACCUGGGGAGUACGCCGGCAACGGUGAAACUCAAAUGAAUUGGCGGGG
Molecule: ribosomal RNA, 393 nt
Filed under: uncultured bacterium
Lineage: Bacteria
Description: partial 16S ribosomal RNA
Rfam family: Bacterial small subunit ribosomal RNA
Source: RNAcentral